Molecule: transfer RNA, 72 nt
Filed under: Haemonchus contortus (barber pole worm)
Lineage: Eukaryota; Metazoa; Nematoda; Chromadorea; Rhabditida; Trichostrongylidae
Description: tRNA, Cys
Rfam family: tRNA
About the family: Transfer RNA (tRNA) molecules are approximately 80 nucleotides in length. Their secondary structure includes four short double-helical elements and three loops (D, anti-codon, and T loops). Further hydrogen bonds mediate the characteristic L-shaped molecular structure. tRNAs have two regions of fundamental functional importance: the anti-codon, which is responsible for specific mRNA codon recognition, and the 3' end, to which the tRNAs corresponding amino acid is attached (by aminoacyl-tRNA synthetases). tRNAs cope with the degeneracy of the genetic code in two manners: having more than one tRNA (with a specific anti-codon) for a particular amino acid; and 'wobble' base-pairing, i.e. permitting non-standard base-pairing at the 3rd anti-codon position.
Source: RNAcentral
UUCCAGGUGACUCAGUGGUAAAGAAUCUGCUUGCAAAUGCAGGAGACCCAGGUUCGAUCCCUGGGUUGGGAA